Molecule: ribosomal RNA, 253 nt
Filed under: uncultured bacterium
Lineage: Bacteria
Description: partial 16S ribosomal RNA
Rfam family: Bacterial small subunit ribosomal RNA
Source: RNAcentral
UACGGAGGAUGCAAGCGUUAUCCGGAAUGAUUGGGCGUAAAGCGUCCGCAGGUGGCUGUGUAAGUCUGCUGUUAAAGAGUGGGGCUCAACCUCAUAAGAGCAGUGGAAACUACAUAGCUAGAGUGCGGUCGGGGCAGAGGGAAUUCCUGGUGUAGCGGUGAAAUGCGUAGAUAUCAGGAAGAACACCGGUGGCGAAAGCGCUCUGCUAGGCCGCAACUGACACUGAGGGACGAAAGCUAGGGGAGCGAAUGGG